RNAcentral lists this ribosomal RNA (244 nucleotides) under Arabidopsis thaliana (thale cress). Lineage: Eukaryota; Viridiplantae; Streptophyta; Magnoliopsida; Brassicales; Brassicaceae. The record is from RNAcentral.
GGGGUUGGAGGCCCUUUUUUUAAAUUUUUUUUUCUUUGAUUAAAACUUUAUGACUCUAUAACUUUUAUACAGUGAGGCCAAACUUGGCAUGUGAUACCUUUUCGAAAAGCCCAAAGAGAGCCAUCCGAUGAAAGAAGCAGGACAAUGGAACAUAUCCAUUGAUUUUUUGUCAACUCCAAAUUUUGACCUUUAGUUAAGCGUGCUUGGGGGAGAGUAGUACUAGGACGGGUGAUCUCCCGGGCAG